UACGAAGGGGGCUAGCGUUGUUCGGAAUUACUGGGCGUAAAGCGCGCGCAGGCGGUCUUCCAAGUCAGUGGUGAAAGCCCGGAGCUCAACUCCGGAACUGCCAUUGAAACUGUUGGACUUGAGUACGAGAGAGGUGAGUGGAAUUCCCAGUGUAGAGGUGAAAUUCGUAGAUAUUGGGAAGAACACCGGUGGCGAAGGCGGGUCUCUGGACAGUUCCUGACACUGAGGCACGAAGGCCAGGGGAGCAAACGGG
This 253-nucleotide ribosomal RNA is filed under the name uncultured bacterium. RNAcentral's name for it is "partial 16S ribosomal RNA". It matches the Rfam family "Bacterial small subunit ribosomal RNA", at positions 524 to 776 of the family's 1533-position model. The record is from RNAcentral.